This is a long non-coding RNA of Lepidothrix coronata (blue-crowned manakin), 996 nucleotides long. The record is from Ensembl. NCBI's taxonomy places the organism in Eukaryota, Metazoa, Chordata, Aves, Passeriformes, Pipridae.
CCGACCCGGCCAGCACGGGCGGUCCCGGGGCGCGCGCCCCGGACCGUGAGGGAGGUGCGGCUGAGGAAAGGAAGGAGGAGAGCAGACAAGUGCAGACUAACCAUGAAAGGAGGAAGAAGAUGCUUCUCCACUUCGAAGUGCAAGUGGUACAGAUCUUGUGGGAUGGGCAAUGCAGAGUGAAGCAUCGGAUGCGUUUCUCAGGUCAAAGUAACAUCCAGUCAGACUUUGCAUGGCAUGAGGCAGAAACAGGAUUUUCUAGCAUGACAAUGCAGGUAAAGCUCAGAGCAACUCCAGGUUGGAAACAUCAUGAUGCAAGUUGGAUGGAUGGGGAAAGAGUAGAAAACAAUGGUCUGCCAAACAGGGAAAGAGUCUUUAACUAAAGGGUAAGAAAUCAGAAGAGAGAAGAUACUUAGAGCACUUUGACUCACCUGAAAACAUGCAGCAAAUGGAAUGCCGAGGUGAAUAGGCUAUUUAGACCAGUAGAAGUAAAAAGCAGGCUUGUGAAUAGCAGCAACCAAGUGUCCACUAAUACCCCCUGAUGGAAACAGCCCUGCUAUCUGGUCUAGUAUAGCUGUCUUCCUGUUAUUUUAGUAGGAGGCUGGGCUUAGAGGAUCUCACUAAAAGAUCUCCAAAACCCUCAAUACUAGUCCCAGAGGCAUUGCUUUCCAGUAGAUCAAUUCAUCAAUUUUCUUCAAAUGCUAUUCACACAAUGUAUAGGAAGUGUGGCACAUGAUACAAGUCGUUAUUGUUACUCUGUGCACAUAUGAUGCCAAGCAAGUGGUAACUACCAAUGCUGGUUAACACUUGAAAGUGACAGAAUUCCUGUUGGGAGUGGGAAAUGACAGCCUAUCAAGUGACUUGUCAGAAACAAACAUUUAUCUGAUAAAUGGCUAGUGCUGGAAUGCACUGUCAGAGAUGGGCAUUUAGGAGGGAAACAAAAUAAGGAUAAGAUGCUGAAGCCUGUUAUCCCUUGAUAUGACCACGCUUCAGGAAAUU